This 1663-nucleotide long non-coding RNA is filed under the name Capra hircus (goat). Its description in RNAcentral is "lncRNA (ENSCHIG00010010067.1)". The record is from RNAcentral. Lineage: Eukaryota; Metazoa; Chordata; Mammalia; Artiodactyla; Bovidae.
UCGGGAAUUCCCCAGUGCUUGUUCCUCAGCACUGCUUCACCAGUCCCAUUUGUUUCCAAUAUAUUUAAUUUAUAGUUUUCUGGAGGCAGGGUAUAGUUUGGGUAAAGAAAUUUCCAGAAAUCAUCCCCCAAAGGCAGUGUGUUUCUCUUCUGAGGGAAAAGAGACUGAUUUCCUUGACCCCCUGCCAUCCUUCAUCCUCGAGGCACAGAGAAUGUGUGAAUGGAGCCUCUGGUGAAACUGAGGGAUGCUGAGCACACCCUACUCCAUCGGUGGUACCCAUGAGGCAGGUAGCAAUAGCCAAGACUUUAAUAGUCUCAUUGUGUUCAAGCUAAAGAAAUUAAAGAGAAAAGAGAUGGGCAUAUUUUUAAGGUAAAAGUAGAAAACAAAUCUGUUGUAGUUCCCUGAGUGUGGGAGAACAGAAAACAGGACUGACAAAGCAUCAAGAGAUAUUGAAAUCAGGUAUCAUCAUCUCAACAAUAAUAACCAUCAUUUAGAAAUGCUCACUAGGCACUUCACAGAAGUUAUUUAAGCUUCUCCGGUGACUCAGAAGGUAAAUAAUCUGCCUCCAAGGCAGGAGACCCAGGUUGGAUCCCUGGGUCUGGAAGAUUUCCUGGAGAAGGGAAUGGCUACCCACACCAGUAUUCUUACCUGGAAAAUUCCAUCAACAGAGGAGCCUGGCGGGGUACAUACAGUCCAUAGGAUCACAAAGAGUUGGACACGACUGAGUGACGAACACUUUCAUUUUUCAAGAACCUUAAAUGUUAUGGUAUACUCAUUUUGCACCUGAGGGAUCAGCUCAGAUCUUGUGACACGGUAGCAAGAGCACUUGUCUGGAAGUCAUUCAUUGGCUCUAUGACCUUGGGCAAGUCCCUUGACCGGCUCUGGGCCUCAGUUUCCACUUGGAGCUAUAUUACAGCCUUUUUUAGUUCUAACAUAAGUGGAUUGACCUUGAAAUGCAGAGAAGCCCAGACAAAUAAAAAUCCCCUUAAAAACUCAUCAUCAACAUUAUACCAUGCAAGGUACCAUUUCCCUAUGCAACAUGUAUCCAUUGCCACUGUCACGCCAGGCUCUGUGCUCAGUCCUGGGAUGCAAAGGUGGACAACUGAGACUCUGUUUUCAUGGAGUUCACUUGUGAUCUUGGCUUGUGUGUGUGGUUUUUUUUUUUUCAAAUAGACUUUAUAUUUUUAGAAAAGUUUAAGAUUUAUAAAAAGAAAAAAAAAAAGGAGGGGGGCCUCCCUGGGUCCAGUGGCUAAGACUCCAUGCUCCCAGUGCAGGAGGCCUAAGUUUGAUCCCUGGUCAGGGAAUUAGAUCCCACAUGCCGAAACUAAGACUGGUACACCCAAAUAAAUAAAUAAAUAAAAUUUUUUUAAAUGAAGAGAAACUUCCCUGGCAGUGGUUAAGACUUCUUGCUCCCAGUGGGAGGUAGGGGGAAGGUUUAAGAGGGAGGGUGGGUAUAUGUAUACCUAUGGCUGAUUUAUGUUGAUAUAUGGUAGAAACCAACACAACAUACAACAAUUAUCCUUCAAUUAAAAAUAAUUUAAAAGAAAGACAAAAAUAAUAAAUCUUUGUUAGUGAAGCAAAGGAAAAAGAAAAUUCCAUGCUUCUACUGCUGCUGCUGCUGUUGCUGCUAAGCCACUUCAGUCGUGUCCGACUCUGUGCGACC